UGAACGCUGGCGGCGUGCCUAAUACAUGCAAGUCGAACGCACAGCGAAAGGUGCUUGCACCUUUCAAGUGAGUGGCGAACGGGUGAGUAACACGUGGACAACCUGCCUCAAGGCUGGGGAUAACAUUUGGAAACAGAUGCUAAUACCGAAUAAAACUUAGUGUCGCAUGACACAAAGUUAAAAGGCGCUUCGGCGUCACCUAGAGAUGGAUCCGCGGUGCAUUAGUUAGUUGGUGGGGUAAAGGCCUACCAAGACAAUGAUGCAUAGCCGAGUUGAGAGACUGAUCGGCCACAUUGGGACUGAGACACGGCCCAAACUCCUACGGGAGGCUGCAGUAGGGAAUCUUCCACAAUGGGCGAAAGCCUGAUGGAGCAACGCCGCGUGUGUGAUGAAGGCUUUCGGGUCGUAAGCACUGUUGUAUGGGAAGAACAGCUAGAAUAGGAAAUGAUUUUAGUUUGACGGUACCAUACCAGAAAGGGACGGCUAAAUACGUG
RNAcentral lists this ribosomal RNA (494 nucleotides) under uncultured bacterium. RNAcentral describes it as "bacterial SSU rRNA". It matches the Rfam family "Bacterial small subunit ribosomal RNA", at positions 30 to 507 of the family's 1533-position model. The record is from RNAcentral.